UUUUUUAUAAAAAUAAUUUAUUUAUUUAAAGUUUUAGUAUUUAUUAAAAAUUAAUUUAUAGAUUUAUAGUUUAAUAGUAUUGUGAAAGAAUUAAUUAAAUUUUAAAAAGAACUAUAUUAGUACCUUUUGUAUCAGGGUUGAUUAAAAUUUUUAAUUUUUUUUUAAAUUCUCAAAAUUUAUAGAGUUAAUUUUAUUAUUAAUUUAUUGUGUUAUAAAUAUUUAUAAAAUAAUAUUAGUUUUGAAAUUUAAUUCGUUAUAUUAUAUUUAGUUGUUUAAGAUUUAAAUUUAAUUUAAAAUUUUAAAAGUUAUUUUGAUUUUGUUGAUUAAUAUUUUAAAUUUAAAUUAUUUUAGGGAUAAGCUUGAAAUUUUUAUAUAAUAAUUUAUUUAUUUAAUAAUUUAUAGGAAUAGAAAUUUUUAUUUAAGUUUGUAAAAAUUUAUUAUUUAUUUAUUUUUAAUUUAUUAUAAAUUAUUUAUUAUUAAUAUUAAAUUUUAUUAAUUAAUAUUUAAUUAAUAGUAAUAAUGAUUAAAUUAGUAUAAUUUAAAUUUAUAAAUUAUGAAUUCGGCAAAAAUUAUUUUCAUCUGUUUAACAAAAACAUUGUAUUAAGUUUAAUUUAAUAUAGGAUCUGCUCAAUGAUUUAUUAAAUAGCUGCAGUAUUUUGACUGUGCAAAGGUAGCAUAAUAAUUAGUCUUUUAAUUGAGGACUUGUAUGAAAGAUUUGAUGAGAAAUAAACUUUAUUAUUUAUAUAAUUAAAAUUUUAUUUUUAAGUAAAAAAGCUUAAAUUAUUUAAAGGGACGAUAAGACCCUAUAAAACUUUAUAAAUUUUAAUUUUAAUUUUUUUGGAUUUAUAAAUAUAUUAUUUUUAAAAUUUAUUUUAUUGGGGUGAUAAAAAAAAUUAAUAAACUUUUUUUAAAAUUAAACAUUAUUUAGUGAAUUUUUGAAUUCAAAUUUUUAAUUAAAGGAAAAAGUUACUUUAGGGAUAACAGCGUAAUUAAUUUUUUAAGUUCAAAUUUAAAAAUUAGUUUGCGACCUCGAUGUUGAAUUAAGAUUAAUCUCAGGUGCAAAAUUUUAAGUAUUAGGUCUGUUCGACCUUUAAA
RNAcentral lists this ribosomal RNA (1095 nucleotides) under Schizaphis scirpi. RNAcentral describes it as "partial 16S large subunit ribosomal RNA". Lineage: Eukaryota; Metazoa; Arthropoda; Insecta; Hemiptera; Aphididae. The record is from RNAcentral.